UUUGCCCUCCCUGCUCCCUGCCCCAUAUAAGCAGAGCAGGAGGAGCCCAGCCCCAAGCUGGGCCCAUUGCGGGCCAAGGGAUCCUCCGCCGGCAUCCCAGGUGAGUGCGCACGGGCGAGCACCGGGGUGUGGUGGAGGGUUUCAAAGGCCGGGGGGCCUCGCUGGCCCCCCGGCUAGCUAGGGCCACCUUAGGGCUAGGCUGCUGACCAUUUGCGACGCUGACUUUUAGCUCACGGUGCUAAGGUUGUGCUGUUGUUGUUAUUGAGGCUGAGCUUUGUUUAGGAGUUUGCCUGCUUGAAGGACUUGUCACAGGUUCUGCCGCGGGUGAGAAGAUGCAGAUGGAGACGGAGACGAAGACAGAGAUGAAGAUGGAGACGAAGACAAAGAUGAAGAUGGAGGUAGUGGUAAUGGUGGAGCAGGAGCUGGUAAGCCUGCAGCUAACCGCAGCGGUGCCUCAACUCCAGAGCCACCAGGAAGAUGUCACUGUCUUCAGAGGCCACUGAAAAGGCUUUCAAGGCAACGUUUGGCUGUGCUCUCUCACUCCCAGGUCACAGCCUUCCUGCUUCCCAGCAGCAGCUGUGCUGUGCUCCAGAUGCUCCUGAG
Pogoniulus pusillus (Red-fronted tinkerbird) is the source of this 603-nucleotide long non-coding RNA. RefSeq lists it as uncharacterized. Lineage: Eukaryota; Metazoa; Chordata; Aves; Piciformes; Lybiidae. The record is from RefSeq and is a predicted model, not a curated record. The transcript is spliced from 2 exons.